Molecule: ribosomal RNA, 434 nt
Filed under: uncultured bacterium
Lineage: Bacteria
Description: partial 16S ribosomal RNA
Rfam family: Bacterial small subunit ribosomal RNA
Source: RNAcentral
AGCGAACGCUGGCGGCAGGCCUAACACAUGCAAGUCGAACGAACCUUUCGGGGUUAGUGGCGGACGGGUGAGUAACACGUGGGAACGUGCCUUUAGGUUCGGAAUAACUCAGGGAAACUUGUGCUAAUACCGAAUGUGCCCUUCGGGGGAAAGAUUAAUCGCCUUUAGAGCGGCCCGCGUCUGAUUAGCUAGUUGGUUGAGGUAAUGGCUCACCAAGGCGACGAUCAGUAGCUGGUCUGAGAGGAUGAUCAGCCACAUUGGGACUGAGACACGGCCCAAACUCCUACGGGAGGCAGCAGUGGGGAAUCUUGCGCAUUGGGCGAAAGCCUGACGCAGCCAUGCCGCGUGAAUGAUGAAGGUCUUAGGAUUGUAAAAUUCUUUCACCGGGGACGAUAAUGACGGUACCCGGAGAAGAAGCCCCGGCUAACUUCGUG